Molecule: ribosomal RNA, 723 nt
Filed under: Triticum aestivum (bread wheat)
Lineage: Eukaryota; Viridiplantae; Streptophyta; Magnoliopsida; Poales; Poaceae
Description: partial small subunit ribosomal RNA
Source: RNAcentral
AUGGAGUGCAACCCGGAGAUUUUAUGUUGGAACGUCCGCGGGUUAAAUAAUCCCGCGAAGAGAAAGGCGGUUAGGGAGUUCUUGGCCUUGGUCAAGGUCAAUGUAGCGUGUCUCCAGGAGACCAAACUGGAUGUUGUCGAUCCUUUCGUGGCUAUGCAAUGUUUAGGCCUGUCUCUGGACGGUUUUUCUUACUUACCUGCUGUGGAGACCCGUGGUGGUGUGAUCCUCGCUUGGGACACCACGGUGAUUACCUUGGAUCAGAUUCAGCUAGACACUAACUUCCUAACUGGACGAGUCCAUAACAAGGAUGUCACGGAGUGGUGGAUUUCCGUUGUAUAUGCGCCGCAAGGGGACGACUUCAAAACCCAGUUCCUCCAUGACCUAAGCGCUAGGCGCGCCAUUUUCCCGGGGCCAUGGAUGAUUCUAGGGGAUUUCAAUAUGAUCGUUCACGCGAUGGAGAAGAACAACACUAACAUCAACAGGGCAAUGAUGGCAAAGUUCAGAGCUUUUGUGGACGAACAUGAACUUAAGGAGCUAUACAUGCACGGUCGGACGUUCACCUGGUCCAAUGAGAGGGGCAUUCCGACACUCACCAAAAUCGACAGGGUGUUAGUUUCGGUUGAAUGGGAGUUGGCGCACCCGGAGAACUUGCUACAGGCGCUCUCCUCAGGAGUUUCAGACCAUGCACCUCUGCACUUAUCCACUAAUGCCUACUUCCAUUAG